CUGGAGGGUUAAGAAAGUAGAACCAGUGAAGUCUGUUGGCUCUACUGAUACUGUCCUCCUAAAUUAAGUGGUGGAAGAACAAGGUCUUAAUAUGAGAUCAAGAUAGGCCUUACUACUAUCUGCCAACAAUA
Molecule: non-coding RNA, 131 nt
Organism: Hemicordylus capensis (graceful crag lizard)
Lineage: Eukaryota; Metazoa; Chordata; Lepidosauria; Squamata; Cordylidae
Product: small Cajal body-specific RNA 15
Exons: 1
Source: RefSeq, a predicted model, not a curated record